This 1005-nucleotide long non-coding RNA is filed under the name Strigops habroptila (Kakapo). Its description in RNAcentral is "lncRNA (ENSSHBG00005017199.1)". Lineage: Eukaryota; Metazoa; Chordata; Aves; Psittaciformes; Psittacidae. The record is from RNAcentral.
UUCUCUUCUUUUUUUUAUUCUUACUAAAUUAAAAAAUACUGAAAUUAAGUUUGGGGCAGGAAUUUGUAGCAUUUCAAUUUUUUUUUAAUUCUCAUGACGAUUUUCAAAUACAGACUAACUUAAUACUAACUUCUCUGACCACGUAAAAAAGCUACUGUCUGGUUUAUUUUUCCAAAAGAUUUCUUUUAAACAUUAGUGGACAUGUACGAAAAAGACAUUUUCUGUACAGACAGUGCAGUGCUGUAAACUAUUCACAUUAGCACAGUUCAGUGCACAGUAAGUUCUACUGGGAAACAGCAUGGUUUACCAUUUAGCAAAGCAUGUUAACUCUAGAUUUGACUAACAAAGCUUUGCAAUUAAAAAUCCCGGAAUGAACAAAGACAGAAGGAGAACAGGCCAACACCCACUUCUUUUCUCCUUCCACCAUUCAUUUUGAAAACUGAAACAGAGAACCACCUAGUUAGCCAUUCUGACUCGGGAUGCUAUAGGAAUGGGGCAGAGGGAAGUCAUGUUUUGAUUUCUAGGAGGGUAACGUUUAAUAAAAUUUAUGUACGAGUGCUUACAAAAAUUAAAAGAUUUUGCAAUGUUUUACUAGGUAAUCCUUUUUUUUUCCCCAACCCCUCAGCUUACACAAAUUAACUCCCUAAUAAAAAUACUAACAUUAAAUUGGUGGGGAGAGGGAGAGUAAUAAUUUUGCUUCAAAUAAGUACCUUCAUAAAAGCCUGUGGCUACUGUUCAUAAUACUCCUUACAUGAGUAACUCUCUUUUCAUCAUGGAAACUUUCAGACUUUAUUCAAGGCUGUCUUCAAGAAAAAGCUAGCCACACUAUGUUUCGUGAUGUUUUGCAGAGGCUAGAAACGUCUGGGUACAAUUUGAGGAAUAACAGGUUUGAAUCCCGACAAAACAAUUUCCCCAAAUCAUUUUACACUAGAGAGUACACUCCUAUAUUCACAUAAUUCAAAAACCUCUUAAAUUCAGUCAAAGCAUUUGUGAGAGAAAAAAAAA